ACACGACUACAUUAGAUACCCCUGUAGUCCUAGCCGUAAACGAUACUCGCUAGGUGUCGGCCACGGUGCGACCGUUGUCGGUGCCGUAGGGAAGCCGUGAAGCGAGCCACCUGGGAAGUACGGCCGCAAGGCUGAGACUUAAAGGAAUUGGCGGGGGAGCACAACAACGGGUGGAGCUUGCGGUUUAAUUGGAUUCAACGCCGGAAAUCUUACCGGGACCGACAGCAACAUGAAGGCCAAGCUGAAGACUUUGCCGGAUUAGCUG
RNAcentral lists this ribosomal RNA (265 nucleotides) under uncultured archaeon. RNAcentral's name for it is "partial 16S ribosomal RNA". It matches the Rfam family "Archaeal small subunit ribosomal RNA", at positions 717 to 982 of the family's 1478-position model. The record is from RNAcentral.